GUGAAAGUGAAAGUGAAAAGUGUAGUGAAGUGGUUGCAGUAUAGUGGGGCAGUGUUUUAAAAGAAAAAGGCCCAAAAAUGGCAAAGUUCCUUAUCCAGAGCGGCGGCAGCAGACGGCAAAAUGGCAUACAAAUGGCAGAGCGGCAGAGGCAAAAUAAAGAAAUAAGUGAAAGUGAAGUGUUCAAAGUGCAACAUAAAAACUUUUUUUUCAUGCAUACAUCUUUUUUUUCGUUUGGUCACGUGAUCUCUGGCAAUGUUUGUACGUGUGCUUGUGUGUGCAGAAAAUGCAAAAGAGACGCAGAGUUGCGGUCCCUUUCCAACCCCAAUACCCAAGUGAAAUGUGCUUGGAGUUAUUGCAAUUCCCUUGGUUUUGCUUGUGCGUUUUCGUAUUCGUUUCGUAAAUCGUUCGUUAAAACCCCGUUUCGUUUCCGUUUUAAACGCAAACUCGUCGGCGCAAUAACAAUAAAACGUAAUGGCGAGAUUUGAUGAACCAAAAGCAACCUUUUGGCAGAUGUUCUUCAUGGCACAUGGAAACAUAAAGCAAACCUCUCCACACACUCUCCCAAGCGUAUUUAACAUUCGUUCAUUGGGUAGAUACAGCUCAUUAAACCUGAAAAAUGAUUCGAGCAGAGCUUACCAUGGGCAGUGUGACGCCGGGAAAGAGAUCCAUGUAGAUGCCAAUGAAGAGGGAAAUGUCCUGCUCGAGGAAUUUCGGCAAAUUGACAUCAACAAUGGCACGCAAAACAAUCUCCGGCUCCGGCAGGUCCACGUAGAGGCGUCGCAGCGAUGCGGAGGCCAGCAGCACGGACUUGACGGCGCGCAUACCUGUCGAUAGAUGGACAUGAACAUGGAGGGGAGAGGUAUUUGAUGGCGUUGGAUGGCGUCGCCGUGCCUGGCUGCCGUUAUCGUUCCCAUUCCCUUCCUGGCUGUGGCCGAAGCUUCAUUAUACGCGCCAGGGAAAUGCUAAACUUUUGCAACCUUGCAAAAACAGCUGGACAGUGGGGCAAAGGAGGUGGAGCGGGACACGACGUAGGACUCGCAGGAUCUGAUUCGAUCUUGUCGGGCAGCCUCUUCUCAUCUGUAAUCUACCGAUUUACAACCCGCAAAAUAAUGCUGACUUCAUACAAUCCUGGAUGGGAGUGGGUGGAGUGGAGGGUGGACACGCAUAAAUCAGUUGAAAGCAUUUCGGUUCGCUGCUGCAAUUGUCCCUGACCACACACAGAAUGGGUUGGAUCGGAGCAGGCAACGGGGCAACGUGGACGAGCCACUGGACAGAGUUGAUAAAUUGCGCGCACAGUGGGAGAGUGCAGAAGAAAGUCGUCGUCAGCUCAAGGUAAGUGCAACAAAAGGUGGAGGGCAGAUCGCAAGUUACAUUUUACGUGCACUUAAAGUCUUUAAAGGGAUCGUUGGUAUGUGCCAUACAAGUAUAGUUAAUCUCCUUCUUUUUGCUGUCUCUACCUUGAAGUUGACACCCCCCAAACAGAGUUCACACCCACACUUAAUAUCUGUGCAUGUGUGAGUGCCAUCAUUAGCUUUUGGCGCACUCUGUCGAAGUGCUCUUUGCCCCCCGUUUUUUUCCAUUGUUGUUGUUGCCUUGGUUUGGUUGGCCCACCCAACGUGCGAUGGGCAAUUUAAUCAGUCUGGCAGCGCGCAGAAAAGCUGAUAAUACCGUUAUGAAUAAUUUACACACGCACACACGCCAUCCCACCCAUUCACCCACACAAUCAUACAUUAAGA
This is a long non-coding RNA of Drosophila subobscura, 1736 nucleotides long. RefSeq lists it as uncharacterized. The transcript has 8 exons. Lineage: Eukaryota; Metazoa; Arthropoda; Insecta; Diptera; Drosophilidae. The record is from RefSeq and is a predicted model, not a curated record.